CGGCCUCCCCGACGGCCGCCGCCUCCGACGCUGCGGCCGCGCCGCUCUUUGCGGCUACCACGUUCCCAUACCUCUCUUCUCCUUCCACCCUUCAGCCACUCCUAGUGCCGCGCCGCCGCAUCCUCCCACUCUCUGAUUCUCCUCGCCGCUAGGCGAUUAGGGUUUGGGGUGCCUCGUCAGCGUCACCCAUUCCCGCUAGUGGCACUGUGCCUCCCGCCCCUUCGUGUGGGCUUGCAGUGGCCCCACACCUCCGGUCCUCGCUCCCUGCUUGCGCGGUUUGCAUCGGGCUGAGGCGUUCUUCUG
RNAcentral lists this long non-coding RNA (303 nucleotides) under Setaria viridis. RNAcentral describes it as "long non-coding RNA (SVIR_LNC004826)". The record is from RNAcentral. Lineage: Eukaryota; Viridiplantae; Streptophyta; Magnoliopsida; Poales; Poaceae.